GCGAGCUAAUUGCAUUUACUUAAAAUUAAAUUUUAAGAGAGUGUCCCUUUUUAUUUAUAAAAAAUUGGAUGGCUUUUAAGAGAGUGGUCCCUUAUUUUUUUUUUUUAAAAAAUUUAAAAGCCUUUUAAAGAGGGAGGGUCCAUUUUUUAUGUAGUUACUAUUUUGUAGUUUAAAAUUCUAGAUAGAAUUAUGAUGAUGACAUUAUCUAUCUAUUAGUCUUGACCAAAUUACGUGCCAGCAGUCGCGGUAACACGUAAAAGACAAGUGUUAUUCAUCUUUAUUGGGUUUAAAGAGUACCAAGACGGUUAAUAAAGCCCAAAAAACGUGAAUACCAUGGGGGACACAUUAACUAGAGUUAUAUGAAAGGAAGCUCUUAAGUACUGUUGAGUGUAGAGAUAAAAUCCUGUCAUACCAGAUAAAGGCACAGAUUUAUGCGAAGGCAUCUUCUUAUGUAAUAACUGACGUUGUAGGACGAAGGCUUUUUUAGUGAAGAGGAUUAGAGACCCUUGUAAUCUAAGCAGAAAAUGAUGAAUGUCAUAGGUUUAAUAUAUUAUUGGGUCUAUAAAUGAAAGUGUAAGCAUUCCACCUCAAGAGUAAUUUGGCAACAUUGGAACUGAAAUCAUUAGACCGUUUCUGAAACCAGUAGUGAAGUAUGUUGUUUAAUUAGAUGAUACACAAAAAACCUUACCACAAUUUGAAUAUAUAUCUUUAAAGAUAUUUACAAGCGUUGCACGGCUGUCUUCAGUUAAUGUCGUGAGAUUUUGGUUAGUUCCAUAAAAUUAACGUAAACCCUCGUUUUAUUUAGAAAUAAAAUUUAGAUCUGUUUCAAU
Molecule: ribosomal RNA, 830 nt
Filed under: Ricasolia japonica
Lineage: Eukaryota; Fungi; Ascomycota; Lecanoromycetes; Peltigerales; Lobariaceae
Description: partial small subunit ribosomal RNA
Rfam family: Bacterial small subunit ribosomal RNA (bases 113-830)
Source: RNAcentral